RNAcentral lists this ribosomal RNA (253 nucleotides) under uncultured prokaryote. RNAcentral describes it as "partial 16S ribosomal RNA". It matches the Rfam family "Bacterial small subunit ribosomal RNA", at positions 524 to 776 of the family's 1533-position model. The record is from RNAcentral.
UACGAAGGGGGCUAGCGUUGUUCGGAAUUACUGGGCGUAAAGCGCGCGUAGGCGGACCUGCAAGUCGGGGGUGAAAGCCCGAGGCUCAACCUCGGAACUGCCUUCGAUACUGCGGGUCUCGAGUCCGGGAGAGGUGAGUGGAAUUCCUAGUGUAGAGGUGAAAUUCGUAGAUAUUAGGAAGAACACCAGUGGCGAAGGCGACCACCUGGACUGAUACUGACACUGAGGUGCGAAAGCGUGGGGAGCAAACAGG